RNAcentral lists this ribosomal RNA (496 nucleotides) under uncultured bacterium. Its description in RNAcentral is "partial 16S ribosomal RNA". It matches the Rfam family "Bacterial small subunit ribosomal RNA", at positions 28 to 506 of the family's 1533-position model. The record is from RNAcentral.
GACGAGCGCUGGCGGCGUGCCUAAUACAUGCAAGUUGAGCGCUGAAGGUUGGUACUUGUACCAACUGGAUGAGCAGCGAACGGGUGAGUAACGCGUGGGGAAUCUGCCUUUGAGCGGGGGACAACAUUUGGAAACGAAUGCUAAUACCGCAUAAAAACUUUAAACACAAGUUUUAAGUUUGAAAGAUGCAAUUGCAUCACUCAAAGAUGAUCCCGCGUUGUAUUAGCUAGUUGGUGAGGUAAAGGCUCACCAAGGCGAUGAUACAUAGCCGACCUGAGAGGGUGAUCGCCCACAUUGGAACUGAGCCACGGCCCAAACUCCUGAGGGAGGCAGCAGUAGGGAAUUUUCGGCAAUGGACGAAAGUCUGACCGAGCAACGCCGCGUGAGUGAAGAAGGUUUUCGGAUCGUAAAACUCUGUUGGUAGGGAAAAACGUGGGUGAGAGGGGAAAGCCCAUCAAGUGACGGUAACUACCCAGAAAGGAACGGCUAACUACGG